Molecule: ribosomal RNA, 253 nt
Filed under: uncultured bacterium
Lineage: Bacteria
Description: partial 16S ribosomal RNA
Rfam family: Bacterial small subunit ribosomal RNA
Source: RNAcentral
UACGGGGGGAGCAAGCGUUGUUCGGAUUUACUGGGCGUAAAGUGUGCGCAGGUGGCUGAGCAAGUCGAGUGUGAAAUCCCCGGGCUUAACUUGGGAAUUGCGCUCGAAACUACUUGGCUCGAGUGUGGCAGAGGAAGGUGGAAUUCCAGGUGUAGCGGUGAAAUGCGUAGAGAUCUGGAGGAACACCGAUGGCGAAGGCAGCCCCCUGGGAUGUGACUGACGCUCAUGUACGAAAGCGUGGGGAGCAAACAGG